RNAcentral lists this ribosomal RNA (459 nucleotides) under uncultured Gammaproteobacteria bacterium. Its description in RNAcentral is "bacterial SSU rRNA". It matches the Rfam family "Bacterial small subunit ribosomal RNA", at positions 9 to 464 of the family's 1533-position model. The record is from RNAcentral. Lineage: Bacteria; Pseudomonadati; Pseudomonadota; Gammaproteobacteria.
GAGUUUGAUCAUGGCUCAGAUUGAACGCUGGCGGCAGGCUUAACACAUGCAAGUCGAGCGGUAACAGAGAUAGCUUGCUAUCUGCUGACGAGCGGCGGACGGGUGAGUAAUGCUUGGGAAUAUGCCUAAUGGUGGGGGACAACAGUUGGAAACGACUGCUAAUACCGCAUAACGUCUACGGACCAAAGGAGGGGAUUCUUCGGAACCUUUUGCCAUUUGAUUAGCCCAAGUGAGAUUAGCUAGUAGGUAAGGUAAAGGCUUACCUAGGCGACGAUCUCUAGCUGGUUUGAGAGGAUGAUCAGCCACACUGGGACUGAGACACGGCCCAGACUCCUACGGGAGGCAGCAGUGGGGAAUAUUGCACAAUGGGCGAAAGCCUGAUGCAGCCAUGCCGCGUGUGUGAAGAAGGCCUUCGGGUUGUAAAGCACUUUCAGCGAGGAGGAAAGGGUGUAGAUUAAU